AUUUUCCAAGUAAAUCACCAACCUGAUUCAGACAAAAGUCUCCGUGAAUUACUAAUUCUAUUACAACAACUAUCACUCUACAAGGGGGAAAGCAGUAGAGGAGGGUGACAAUACAGUACCAUUUUGUAAGUUUACAAAGUACAUUAAAUUUGAUACUAGAGCAUUCAAGUAUCACAGACUUGCCAAAUUACACAAUAAACAUGGUGCACUCAAACUUGAUCAAAA
Molecule: unclassified non-coding RNA, 225 nt
Filed under: Hevea brasiliensis (rubber tree)
Lineage: Eukaryota; Viridiplantae; Streptophyta; Magnoliopsida; Malpighiales; Euphorbiaceae
Source: RNAcentral